This 542-nucleotide ribosomal RNA is filed under the name uncultured bacterium. Its description in RNAcentral is "bacterial SSU rRNA". It matches the Rfam family "Bacterial small subunit ribosomal RNA", at positions 777 to 1317 of the family's 1533-position model. The record is from RNAcentral.
AAUAGAUACCCUGGUAGUCCACGCCGUAAACGUUGGAUACUAGGUGUGGGCGUCCCGAUCAACGGAUGCCGUGCCGAAGCUAACGCAUUAAGUAUCCCGCCUGGGGAGUACGGCCGCAAGGCUAAAACUCAAAGGAAUUGACGGGUCCCCGCACAAGCGGCGGAGCAUGCGGCUUAAUUCGAUGCAACCCGAAGAACCUUACCUGGGUUUGAAAUCAUGGGAAAAGCUGUAGAAAUACAGUGUCCGUAAGGGCCCAUGACAGGUGGUGCAUGGCUGUCGUCAGCUCGUGUCGUGAGAUGUUGGGUUAAGUCCCGCAACGAGCGCAACCCUUGUCCUAUGUUGCCAGCGGUUCGGCCGGGGACUCAUAGGAGACUGCCGGGAAUAACUCGGAGGAAGGUGGGGACGACGGUCAAGUCAUCAUGCCCCUUAUAUCCAGGGCUGCACGCAUGCUACAAUGGUCGGUACAACGGGCAGCGACCCCGCGAGGGUGAGCGAAUCCCACAAAGCCGGCCUCAGUUCGGAUUGGAGUCUGCAACUCGACU